Molecule: long non-coding RNA, 1061 nt
Organism: Alligator sinensis (Chinese alligator)
Lineage: Eukaryota; Metazoa; Chordata; Crocodylia; Alligatoridae
Exons: 5
Source: RefSeq, a predicted model, not a curated record
CCCCGCCGUGGGGCCACGGGCAGGACUGGUCACCGGGGCCGGUGCGCACCCUCUGCGGGCCUGGGGACAGACCCUACCUGGCUGCCGCGCUCGUCUCCACCCAGCUGCAUCCUGGGGAGCAAACAGGGUUUUCACUAGCCUGAGAAGGUCGUAUUCAGAAUGUUUUGAAGUGCAGAAAAAACCUAUGCCUCAUUCCUUUAUAUGCUUUAUGCAUAUGGUGCAAUGGUACUCCUGCUUACCAGAGUUUACUGGGGAUUCAGUGUCUUGUCUGAGAUCAUUGCAUCUUCUGCUAUCUCUACAAUUCUCACAGAACUUCAGUAAAGAACAAACAGUCUUGCUGCUGCCUUUUCCUGCCACACCAGGAAUUUCCUGCUGCCUCAUCCAGACUGUCUCCUGGGAUGCCACAUUUUCUAGACACGCACAGUUCCACACUGUGUUUCAAGGAGGACUUACCCUAUCUCAUACAGUGGACCAUGAUGCUUGAAAAAUCUUUUUUUCCACAUUCUGCCUUCCAGAAACAAGGUGGGAAAAAAGCUCCAGUUGAUCACCCCCCUCUUGAGGCCUUCAUCAGGAAAGUUUAAUGAAGCGAACAGACAGAUACAUUUUAUGUGCUAUUUAUAAAGGCUUGUAACAUCACCUCUGUCAUGCUGCCUUCCAGCUGAGAACCCAUGCUGUCAGAAGAGUUAGUAUCUUACAAAAUAAGCCUCCAUUUUGAUUGAAAAAAAUACUUCCAUUGUUAAUAAUCAAAAUUGAUAGAAUGGGAAUCUAAGAAAAAUGAUGACUGAUGGAGUGUGUGAUGACAGAGGGAGCAGUCCUACAGAACCAUGCUGACUGUAGUUUGGACUGCAACUCUGAGAAACCCUAGGGAACUGGAAACAAAGGAAAAGGAAAGGACAAAGCAGACAAGGGAGCUAUGGGCAAGCAGAGCCAGGAACUGAUGGCAGCUCUGCUGCUCAGCUGGCAGCAGUCCUACAGUAGUAACAUGUGUCAUUAAUAAAUUGUCUGCCCCCCCAUGUCCCGAAUUCCAUGGAAUCCUGAAAAUGUAAAUCAAUAAAAAUCAA